Molecule: ribosomal RNA, 917 nt
Filed under: uncultured Bacillota bacterium
Lineage: Bacteria; Bacillati; Bacillota
Description: bacterial SSU rRNA
Rfam family: Bacterial small subunit ribosomal RNA
Source: RNAcentral
UGGAUCCAGACUUUGAUCAUGGCUCAGGACGAACGCUGGCGGCGUGCUUAACACAUGCAAGUCGAACGAGAAUCUACUGAAAGAGUUUUCGGACAAUGGAUGUAGAGGAAAGUGGCGGACGGGUGAGUAACGCGUGAGGAACCUGCCUUGAAGAGGGGGACAACAGUUGGAAACGACUGCUAAUACCGCGUGACGCAUAGAGGUCGCAUGAUCUUUAUGCCAAAGAUUUAUCGCUUCAAGAUGGCCUCGCGUCUGAUUAGCUAGUUGGCGGGGUAACGGCCCACCAAGGCGACGAUCAGUAGCCGGACUGAGAGGUUGAACGGCCACAUUGGGACUGAGAUACGGCCCAGACUCCUACGGGAGGCAGCAGUGGGGAAUAUUGGGCAAUGGGCGCAAGCCUGACCCAGCAACGCCGCGUGAAGGAAGAAGGCUUUCGGGUUGUAAACUUCUUUUAAGAGGGAAGAGCAGAAGACGGUACCUCUAGAAUAAGCCACGGCUAACUACGUGCCAGCAGCCGCGGUAAUACGUAGGUGGCAAGCGUUGUCCGGAUUUACUGGGUGUAAAGGGCGUGCAGCCGGGUCUGCAAGUCAGAUGUGAAAUCCAUGGGCUCAACCCAUGAACUGCAUUUGAAACUGUAGAUCUUGAGUGUCGGAGGGGCAAUCGGAAUUCCUAGUGUAGCGGUGAAAUGCGUAGAUAUUAGGAGGAACACCAGUGGCGAAGGCGGAUUGCUGGACGAUAACUGACGGUGAGGCGCGAAAGUGUGGGAAGCAAACAGGAUUAGAUACCCUGGUAGUCCACACUGUAAACGAUGAAUACUAGGUGUGCGGGGACUGACCCCCUGCGUGCCGCAGUAAACACAAUAAGUAUUCCACCUGGGGAGUACGAUCGCAAGGUUGCAACUCAAAUGAAUUGACGGA